CAAAAGUCAUUAAAUUUUGUAUAUUUUUCUGAAUCAUAGAAGAGGCAGUUACAUCCAAUUUGUCUAUAUAAACUCAUAUCUUGUUUUGACAAAUGCACACAUCAAAAGAAAACAGAAAAUCAUCUGAAAUGAAAUAUGAUUUCUCAUAUUCUGAAAAAAAAUUUACUCAAGUUUUUACAUAUAUUCUAGAGUACACUUGAAAGUUCUAAAAAAUCAUUUAUGAUUGCUGCACAAGUGGUUUAUGAUUGUUGUAUUUUGAGAGUGACUGUCCACGGAGGUUACAACAGUUAUUGAUGAACAAUUUCACUUUAGCACAUCGUACUAAAGUGGAUUGUCUUACAACUUGCCUUGCAAGUUGUCACCAACUCGUGCUUAGCUUGCACUCUUCAUAAUAUCUUUGCCAACUCACGCUUAGCUUGCAAGUGGCACACAAGUGGACAAGUUGUGCAAGUUGCCCACUUGCAUCCUCAAAAUAUCCGGCUGCAGGUUCAUGUAUUUUACCUCCCAAAAUGGCUGGGUCGGGACUUAGAAAAACCUCAUUAAGGCCUUGGAAAACUGCACGAUUUAGGCAGCCUGCAUUUUGCCCCAAAACAAUCUACUUGCGUCCCCAGCCCAAUCUACCUGCGACCUUUGCCGAAUCUGCUUGCGUCCUCUGUCGCAAGCUAUUCCGUCCUGCUGAAGCGUGCUGUCCACACUGCAUUGCGGCCUCUACCGGGACGGAUCGAACGCGACCGCAUGGGAUAAGUUACUCCCCGAUUGAAGGUCCCUACUGUCCCGUCCCUAGAGUAUCGUGAGAGAAAUAAAUUACAAGAUGUGCCCAAGCAAAUUAGGGAACAAGAGCUUAUCCGUACAUUGAUGCCCACAAAUAGUCCAAUUGAAUAUCUUGCUAUGAAAUUCUAGGAGCAGAUGCCAAUUUGUUUAUGUUUCAUUAUCUCGAAUCCCCCCUUUAACCAGAUAUAUCUCCAUAUAGGUGGAUUAAUCCGGUCAACUUGGAAAAUAAUUAAUUAACUAUAUAAUUUUAAAUUCAAGUAUCAUUUGUAUCAAAUAUCAAACAAUUAGAUUUUAAUUUAAUUUAAUGUACGUUUGUAUGUUUUGCAUCAAGACGUGGAAAAUCAGUUUCCUUCGUUAUGACACCAAUUCACAUGAGGGAAAGAUAUGCAAUCAAGUCUGUUUAGCCAACCUGUCCAUCAAGUCCCACUGGGGACGACAAAUGUACCGAGUCGUUCGUAGGUUCGGCUCAUCCCAACUCGAUUCGUGGACUAUUCAAAACUCUUUUUGACACGAGCAAUGGGUUAAACCAAGCACCCCACUCGGCUCAUGGGCCACUGCCGCAUAUUUUUCCAACGGUAACAUUUGAAAUAUGACCUUUGGUUCCCAAAUGGUCAUAGUUAUGAUGGUAAAAAAGCAGUCAAAUUUUUGUAAAUAUCUGAAAUUGUUAUCAUCUUCAUAUUUUUUUUUCUUUUAUUGUGCAAUCUGAUGUUUUAUUACUAUAAAUUUGCUUAUUUGAGUGAUUUAUGCUCAAUUCAAGAUAAAUUCUCUUAUUCCACCUUCUUUUUUAUGUAGCAUUCUAAAUGGAUUACACAUAUUGUUGAAAACUUGUGAGUUUAACCAAUUCAAUGGUACUUCCAACGCUCCAAAAACUAGUUCGUCAUGAGUUCAGUGAUCGAAAUGAUAUUUCAAUUCCUAAUGAUUUGGGUAGUGACAACAAAAGUACAAAUCCAAAUGAUUUGGAUGAUGUUUUACUUUUGACAAUGCAUUGAUCAACAAAAUAGUCACUGAAAAACUAAUUGUUCAACUCAACCACAUUUUUUAUUGCAUAUUAUUUCAUGUCCAAUAUUGUGUUUGUUAUAUUUUCAAUUUAAUUGUCAACGAUGGGGUAAAAAUCAUGAAAAUCGAUAAAGUGCAAGAAUAUUUAUCAUAAAA
RNAcentral lists this long non-coding RNA (1923 nucleotides) under Olea europaea subsp. europaea. The record is from RNAcentral. Lineage: Eukaryota; Viridiplantae; Streptophyta; Magnoliopsida; Lamiales; Oleaceae.